GGGAAAAAUAAACUGGAACCGAUUAGAAAUAAUUUUUAUGAUCAACUUUUACAACACUGAACAUAAGCUGAUCGGCUUAAACUGUUAACGACACUCAAGAUGUCUAACCUUAAGAAUGAGAACAAUAAGGGUAUUGUUCAACCCUGAAUCAAUCGAACCACUAUUAAACACCCUUUUGACCCAUUCACAAAUAACGCUUUCUACUACAUCCUAUUGAAUUUGGAAAAAUAGAGCAUGAAAGUCAUCGCUACCUGGGGCCUUCAAAGGGGCCAUAUCAAAGAAAGCUAUAUUGAUUUCCUCAUCCGAAAUAUCCUUGCCUAGAAAGUCAAUAUCACUCGAAUCAAGGCUUGAAAAAGGAUUCGGCGGUAAAGAUCCCAAGAGACUUGGAAUUUCGCCAUAAAGGUUUUGAAAAAACAUUAUUCCUCAGACUGAAGAACAUUUGGAUCACAACACCAUUCACCUUCUGAAGUCGCAAGUAGAAAUGUGGAUAAAUUUCCUCCUCCAAAGUGUUUGACUAUGAAAAAACCUAAUGUUCUUAUCACCCAUUUUUAGCCAAUCACAUUUAGAUUUUUACUUCCACAAUAACUCUUCAUGAUACAUGACUGAUUCUAACUCAUCCCUUACCUCCUUCUCUUGCAUAAACAAGCGAACAGAACUAGACCUCUCCAUCGCUCUCUGAAUACCAGUCAAACAAUUAACAAGAUGCCUUUUCCUAUAAUCAAUAUGCCUAUAAAUAACUUUAUUCCACUUUUUGAUAUCUAUGGUAAAUCUAGAAAUAGUAUCUGACAUGCACCUAUUAGACCUCCACUCUGUUUUAACAAAGUCCGUGAAAUUCGGGUGUUCAGUCCCCUAGCCAAAAACCAGAAG
RNAcentral lists this long non-coding RNA (867 nucleotides) under Gossypium raimondii (Peruvian cotton). RNAcentral describes it as "long non-coding RNA (GRAI_LNC005487)". Lineage: Eukaryota; Viridiplantae; Streptophyta; Magnoliopsida; Malvales; Malvaceae. The record is from RNAcentral.